ACUCGCGAGGUGAAGCCGCCUCCCAGUUUGCGGGGUGUGCGUGUGGAGUACGGCGGGCGCGUCGGUGCAGUCUGGUGGGCGCGUCAGUGCAGUCCGUCCGGGUAGAGCGUGCAUUGCUCACGCGCCACAUCCCCCGCCGGUUAGCCGCCCCUCUGUCCACCUCCUACGCCGCUGGAGUAACACAGUCGUUUUUCUUAUUCUUCUUCUUCCUUUUUUGGAUUUUGGAUAUGUAGUACAGUCGGAUCCCUCAGGCAGUGCGCCACGCGCCCUCGUUCGGUACGCUAAUAUCUAGUUCAUCGUAGUCCGGCCUUGGGCAGCAAGUGAGCCCCUCCCGUCCACCCGGGCUAUGGAGGCGAGCUAGAUCCGGCGAGAUCCUUUCCUCUACGGUCCCCGGCCGUCCAACCUCACGCCCCGACGGCCUCCUGCAAGCACGGAUGGGUCGACGCCACCCCGUCCGCACUGCAUUUGUAAAAAAAUUCAGAAAAAAAUUAAAGAAUGGUGAAGUUCAUUUGUAAGAAAAAAUGUGAUUUUCUACAGAACCCCAUAAAUUAGGAAAACCUCAUGAGGUACACUAACCUCCUCUGCCCGCUACUAGGGGGCAUCUCGGCCGCCGCCGUUGCGCCGUGCUACCCCGACACUACAGUCUACAGAGCAAUAGCGGCAACAUGGCUCCUCGUUCUGCCUUCUAGAGCAGCGGUGCAGUUGCUGCGGCCAUGCAGCUCGGCUUGCGGACAAAUGCAGUUGACUUGCACAGGCCGGUUGCUCUCUGCGACGAACCAAUUUGAUACCAUUUUUAUUUGGGUGAUUCAGCGUCAGAAGCUAACUCUUGCUUUUGCAUCUUUUCUUCCACAGCGGUUGCAGAUGUGUUGGAGCAAGAGGGCUCCUAAAACAUAGCCUGCAUCACCUCAAGUCUUCAGACACUGAAACCAGGUAUCAACAUUAAGUACACUGAUCUCUGGAAUCCUCUCUAGAAUUUACUGAUGAAAUCUUGUGUUAGUGUACAGUGUUUUGCAAUUCUCCUGGUUUGUGUUGCAAUUCUACCUGUGCAGCUCAGUUGCCUCUCCCCGUGCAGCUCGCUUGCCGCCCCCGUGCAGCUCACCUCCGCCGAGCAAACUCUUUUCGGCGAGUCCACAUCGCGUCCGCACCACAUCGUGCAAUUUGAGUGCAGUUUUUGAUUAUUUUUGGAGCAGCACAUCCAUCCAACCCAAUAAGUUCAGAGUUUGUGUGUUCAGUGCAGUACCGCAGUGCAAUGCAGUGCAGUUUCGGUUUCAGAGUCCCGUUGAAGGCCUCUUGGUGCUAUCCUCACUUAAUUUUUAUGUGAAAAUGUGUGUACAGCCUGUGUAACAGAAUUGCAAGGCCAAGUUUGUCAUAAAAAAUGAUGCUUAGAUGCGAUUCAGUGUAAAAUCCUAUGUGGUUCACUUGGUAAACAAAAAAGUGUCUGGUAUGUAAAUUUUUGAAGCUCACUUUGUAAUGUCAUGUGGCUAACCUCUCGAUAGUUUUGCGGUCCACUUACGCCCGAGGUGAAGCCCGCUGUGUAAUCUCAUGCGGCACACCUCUUGAUAGUGUUGCGAUUCACUUACGCCCGAUCCAAUAUGAAGCUCACUUUGUAAUGUCAUGUGGCUCACCUCGAUAGUUUUGCGAUCCACUUACGCUCGAGGUGAAGCUCACUUUGUAAUCUCAUGCGGGUCACCUCUUGAUAGUGUUGCAAUUCACUUACACCCUAUCCAAUAUGAAGCUCACUUUGUA
This 1746-nucleotide long non-coding RNA is filed under the name Triticum aestivum (bread wheat). RNAcentral's name for it is "long non-coding RNA (TAES_LNC010403)". Lineage: Eukaryota; Viridiplantae; Streptophyta; Magnoliopsida; Poales; Poaceae. The record is from RNAcentral.